GAUGAACGCUGGCGGCGUGCCUAAUACAUGCAAGUCGAGCGAACAGAUAAGGAGCUUGCUCCUUUGACGUUAGCGGCGGACGGGUGAGUAACACGUGGAUAACCUACCUAUAAGACUGGGAUAACUUCGGGAAACCGGAGCUAAUACCGGAUAACAUAUUGAACCGCAUGGUUCAAUAGUGAAAGGCGGCUUUGCUGUCUCUUAUAGCUGGUUCCGGGCCGGGUUAGCUAGUUGUUAAGGUAACGGCUUUCCAAGGCAACGAUACGUGGCCGACCGGAGAGGGUGAUCGGCCACACUGGAACUGAGACACGGUCCAGACUCCUAAGGGAGGCAGCAGUAGGGAAUCGUCCGCAAUGGGCGAAAGCCUGACGGAGCAACGCCGCGUGAGUGAUGAAGGUCUUCGGAUCGUAAAACUCUGUUAUCAGGGAAGAACAAAUGUGUAAGUAACUGUGCACAUCUUGACGGUACCGGAUCAGAAAGCCACGGCUAACUACGUG
Molecule: ribosomal RNA, 497 nt
Filed under: uncultured bacterium
Lineage: Bacteria
Description: partial 16S ribosomal RNA
Rfam family: Bacterial small subunit ribosomal RNA
Source: RNAcentral